CUCACGUGACCAGGAGUCGACGUGUGCAGAAGUCCUGCUAGUCUGGUCCUUGUUCCCGUCUGGGUACCAGCUUCCUUCAGCAGCGCGUACGGUGGGGCCUGAGGCCAGGGGAAAGAGAAGGAGUCAACUUGCUGAAAUUUUGCAGGUCUGCAGGAAAUAAUGACCCUUUGGAAAGGAACUAGGGGUCCCGGGAGAAGGACAAAGAGACCUGUGAUAGUUUAAAAAUCAUCAUCCUCUGCUGCCUCAGACAGCUUUCCCAACGCCUACCCUCCCCCCCAACCCCCGCCUCAGUCUUAGAGAUAGUUUGGAAAUAAUCUGCUUUUCCUACUCCCUGUGUGAUGGGAAAUUCGAGCUGUCUUGCAUUGUGGAGAGGGGGAGAACUGGGGUAAACAAAAGGUCUGUCGUUCAUAGCACUGCACAAAGCUGAAAAAGGUGAGGAAGAAACUGACCACAUCAGUACAGAAGUAAUUGCCUUUAAAGGGGAAUAAGCAGAAAGGAAGGGAGACAGACACAAG
Molecule: long non-coding RNA, 515 nt
Organism: Equus quagga
Lineage: Eukaryota; Metazoa; Chordata; Mammalia; Perissodactyla; Equidae
Exons: 4
Source: RefSeq, a predicted model, not a curated record